CCGAAGGUGCGAACUUAAGCCCCAGUAAACGGCGGCCGUAACUAUAACGGUCCUAAGGUAGCGAAAUUCCUUGUCAGGUAAGUUCUGACCCGCACGAAUGGCGUAACGAUUUGGGCACUGUCUCAACAGCCCGCCCGGCGAAAUUGUAGUACCGGUGAAGAUGCCGGUUUCCCGCAACUAGACGGAAAGACCCCAUGGAGCUUCACUGUAGCUUGAUAUUGGAUCUCGGUAUUCCAUGUACAGGAUAGGUGGGAGGCUAGGAAGCAAGUGCGCCAGCAUUUGUGGAGCCAACCUUGGGAUACCACUCUUGGGGUAUUGGGAUUCUAACCUGCGCCCAUGAAUCUGGGCGGGGGACACUGUCAGGUGGGCAGUUUGACUGGGGCGGUCGCCUCCAAAAGAGUAACGGAGGCGCUCAAAGGUUCGUUCAGCACGGACGGAAAUCGUGCGGUGAGUGUAAACGCAUAAACGAGCCUAACUGCGAGAAUGACGGUUCGAGCAGUAACGAAAGUUGGAGUUAGUGAUCCGGCGGUAUGUGAAUGGAAAUGCCGUCGCUCAACGGAUAAAAGCUACCCUGGGGAUAACAGGCUGAUCUCCCCCAAGAGUCCACAUCGACGGGGAGGUUUGGCACCUCGAUGUCGGCUCAUC
RNAcentral lists this ribosomal RNA (645 nucleotides) under Butyricicoccus sp. 1XD8-22. RNAcentral describes it as "bacterial LSU rRNA". It matches the Rfam family "Bacterial large subunit ribosomal RNA", at positions 1899 to 2541 of the family's 2925-position model. Lineage: Bacteria; Bacillati; Bacillota; Clostridia; Eubacteriales; Butyricicoccaceae. The record is from RNAcentral.